AUUGAACGCUGGCGGCAGGCCUAACACAUGCAAGUCGAACGGUAACAGGAAACAGCUUGCUGUUUCGCUGACGAGUGGCGGACGGGUGAGUAAUGUCUGGGAAACUGCCUGAUGGAGGGGGAUAACUACUGGAAACGGUAGCUAAUACCGCAUAACGUCGCAAGACCAAAGAGGGGGACCCUCGGGCCUCUUGCCAUCGGAUGUGCCCAGAUGGGAUUAGCUUGUUGGUGGGGUAACGGCUCACCAAGGCGACGAUCCCUAGCUGGUCUGAGAGGAUGACCAGCCACCCUGGAACUGAGACACGGUCCAGACUCCUACGGGAGGCAGCAGUGGGGAAUAUUGCACAAUGGGCGCAAGCCUGAUGCAGCCAUGCCGCGUGUAUGAAGAAGGCCUUCGGGUUGUAAAGUACUUUCAGCGGGGAGGAAGGGAGUAAAGUUAAUACCUUUGCUCAUUGACGUUACCCGCAGAAGAAGCACCGGCUAACUCCGUG
RNAcentral lists this ribosomal RNA (490 nucleotides) under uncultured bacterium. RNAcentral describes it as "partial 16S ribosomal RNA". It matches the Rfam family "Bacterial small subunit ribosomal RNA", at positions 30 to 507 of the family's 1533-position model. The record is from RNAcentral.